CUCUGGAAUCUAUCCCAUCCUUUUCCCCCUGGGGUUGGGACUUCGGAGGUGGAGCGAAACAAGACGGGGCGAGAGCUGAUAGGCCUGCCACACGCACUGAAAAACGCGACUGGGAAGGACAGAAACGGGAAGAGAAGUUUGCAGCUUGAAGCGGCCUCCGGUGUAUCCUUUCCAAGCCGUGUUCUCGAGCCUUGUAAUAAUGUAUUCUUUUCUGGCCCUUCGGAUCUUGUAACGUACAUCUUGUUAGUUGAAAAAUGAGAAGGAGAUUUUGUUACCUCAUCCGCACUUUGCAUCGAAUUGUUGUCUGCCGAACUUCCUUCCUUUUCUC
RNAcentral lists this long non-coding RNA (328 nucleotides) under Elaeis guineensis (African oil palm). RNAcentral's name for it is "long non-coding RNA (EGUI_LNC082719)". Lineage: Eukaryota; Viridiplantae; Streptophyta; Magnoliopsida; Arecales; Arecaceae. The record is from RNAcentral.